Pecten maximus is the source of this 695-nucleotide long non-coding RNA. RefSeq lists it as uncharacterized. Lineage: Eukaryota; Metazoa; Mollusca; Bivalvia; Pectinida; Pectinidae. The transcript has 2 exons. The record is from RefSeq and is a predicted model, not a curated record.
GGCAGUAAAGGGAGAAGUGAGAUGGUCAAGCUAAUCACUUUGCGCAUUAAUAUUUUGCUAAAUUUAGAACGCUAUAAAAGCGCAUGACGUAGCUGCCUUCACUCAGAGGCUGAAGAUCCAAGAUGGCAGAACAAGGUGCGUAAUACGGUCAAGGUCAAUUUUGAUCUGUUUUAGUUAUCUGCCUAUUUUGAUCUUCUAUUUCUAGACCAUAUUUUUACCAAAGGUUUUUGCCCACCUCCAUCCCCUUUCUUGCCUCCUUUUAUGAUUGAUAUGUAUAUAAUACUAAAAGUGUGUAUAUUUAUUGUUUUUUGUCUAUAUACAAAGUUUGAAUGGUAUAAUUACAGUUAUUGUUCUUAUAACUUUUUUAUUGAUGUUAUUAAACUGAUACGAGUUACUUUACUACAUUUAGAUGUACAAUUUGUAAGUUUUGUAUUUUCUAUAUAAGAUGUAGGUAUUAUUUUCAGUAAGAGGUAUAACUUUUGUUAAUUCUAUCAUAUGUUCUGUAUAUAAUGUCCGAUGUAGGACAUAUGAUUUAGUUUCUAAGAUGGAUACCCAAGUUUAUGUCUUGAAAUUGAUUACAAUGUAUGUUAUGUUCAUGAGAUGGCGGGAUUGGAUCCCCAUCUAAGACUUUUGUGUCAAUACUGAUUAAUUAACAACCGUCGUUUACUAUAAUAAACGGCCAUAUUCAAAUCAGA